RNAcentral lists this long non-coding RNA (1071 nucleotides) under Homo sapiens (human). RNAcentral's name for it is "non-protein coding lnc-FOXD4L5-18:4". Lineage: Eukaryota; Metazoa; Chordata; Mammalia; Primates; Hominidae. The record is from RNAcentral.
GAGGUUGACUGUACAUACAAAUAUUGAGCAUUUCCUCCUGGCCUCCGUGAUAAACAGAAGUUUUGAUAUUGUUAGGCGAGAUGGAAAGAAAGUAUCAAGGAGUGAGCUGAAGCCACUGCCCUUGAGAACCCUCUCGAGGAGUCUGGCCUCAUGAAGAUGCCAGAAUAAAUGGCAGUAAGAAGAAAAAGAGCAAAGAUAAGAAGAGAAAAAGAGAAGAAGAUGAAGAAACCAGCUUGAUAUGUUGGAACGCAGCUGCUCACCAGCAACGGAACAAAGCUGGACGGAGAAUGACUUUGAAGAGCUGAGAGAAGAAGGCUUCAGAUGAUCAAAUUACUCUGAGCUACGGGAGGACAUUCAAACCAAAGGCAAAGAAGUUGAAAACUUUGAAAAAAAUAAAUAUACAUUUCUUAACGUGGAAUCUGGUGAACAGUAACAAACUUUGGUGAAAUUUCAGGAACCCUAGCCAUUGAAAUGGAUGAGGGAACCUAUAUACAUGCACUCGACAAUGGUCUUUUUACCCUGGGAGCUCCACACAAAGAAGAAUCACCCUGAAACCGGGCUGUGGAAAAUAUCUUGGUAUAAAUUCAGAUGAACUUGUUGUUGGCGUUCAGAUGCAAUUGGACCAAGAGAACAAUGGGAACCAGUCUUUCAAAAUGGGAAAAUGGCUUUGUUGGCCUCAAAUAGAUGCUUUAUUAGAUACAAUGAAGCAGGGGACAUAGAAGCAAAAAGUAAAACAGCAGAAGAAGAAAUGAUCAAGAUUAGAUCCUGUGCUGAAAGAGAAACCAAGAAAAAAGAUGACAUUCCAGAAGAAGACAAAGGAAAUGUAAAACAAUGUGAAAUCAAUUAUGUAAAGAAAUUUCAGAGCUUCCAAGACCACAAACUUAAAAUAAGUAAAGAAGCAGUAAAAUUCUUAAAAAGAUGCAGAAAGAUGGAUUUUUGCAUGAGAUGCUUCUGGACAGAGAACCAAAUUGAAAGCCGACAGAUACUGCAAAUGACUGGGAUUUUUGUUUCUGCCUUAUCUUUUUGUGUUUUUUUCUGAAUAAAAUAUUCAGAGGAAAUGCUUUUACGGAG